This 298-nucleotide long non-coding RNA is filed under the name Olea europaea subsp. europaea. The record is from RNAcentral. Lineage: Eukaryota; Viridiplantae; Streptophyta; Magnoliopsida; Lamiales; Oleaceae.
CUUACAUUUUGGAAUCUUCAAACUACUGUUCACCGUCAACCACAUUACAAUACCAGAAAGUUUAGGUUUUAAGAAGGAAGAGAACUUCGAAUAAUGGGUUCCGAAAUCGACAUUGGAAGUUCAUUCUGGAAACGGUAUUUUCACAGUGAAGAGGAUGCCAGGAAAAUCGACAUUUUUGACUUGAUCAAUGCUUCGAUCACAGUCGCCUGUUUCAAGAAACCAGAUGAGUUUCGCUCAAAAAGGUUGUGGAUUAUGGAGUCCCUUUUCGCCGAUGAUUUUAAGGCCAAAACGGGUUCGC